Molecule: ribosomal RNA, 426 nt
Filed under: uncultured Proteiniphilum sp.
Lineage: Bacteria; Pseudomonadati; Bacteroidota; Bacteroidia; Bacteroidales; Dysgonomonadaceae
Description: bacterial SSU rRNA
Rfam family: Bacterial small subunit ribosomal RNA
Source: RNAcentral
GGGGAAUUUUGGACAAUGGGCGAAAGCCUGAUCCAGCAAUGCCGCGUGCAGGAUGAAGGCCUUCGGGUUGUAAACUGCUUUUGUACGGAACGAAAAGGCUCUGGCUAAUACCUGGGGCACAUGACGGUACCGUAAGAAUAAGGAUCGGCUAACUCCGUGCCAGCAGCCGCGGUAAUACGGAGGAUCCGAGCGUUAUCCGGAUUUAUUGGGUUUAAAGGGUGCUCAGGCGGGGGAUUAAGUCGGCGGUGAAAUUUUGCAGCUCAACUGUAAAAGUGCCUUCGAAACUGGUUUCCUUGAGUGCGGAUGAGGUAGGCGGAAUUUGUGGUGUAGCGGUGAAAUGCAUAGAUAUCACGAGGAACUCCGAUUGCGCAGGCAGCUUACCAAGCCGUAACUGACGCUCAAGCACGAAGGCGUGGGGAUCAAACA